GACGUAGGGCGCGAGCGUUGUCCGGAUUUAUUGGGCGUAAAGAGCUCGUAGGCGGCUUGUCACGUCGAUUGUGAAAGCCCGAGGCUUAACCUCGGAUCUGCAGUCGAUACGGGCUAGCUAGAGUGUGGUAGGGGAGAUCGGAAUUCCUGGUGUAGCGGUGAAAUGCGCAGAUAUCAGGAGGAACACCGGUGGCGAAGGCGGAUCUCUGGGCCAUUACUGACGCUGAGGAGCGAAAGCGUGGGGAGCGAACAGG
RNAcentral lists this ribosomal RNA (253 nucleotides) under uncultured bacterium. RNAcentral describes it as "partial 16S ribosomal RNA". It matches the Rfam family "Bacterial small subunit ribosomal RNA", at positions 524 to 776 of the family's 1533-position model. The record is from RNAcentral.